This 450-nucleotide ribosomal RNA is filed under the name uncultured bacterium. RNAcentral describes it as "partial 16S ribosomal RNA". It matches the Rfam family "Bacterial small subunit ribosomal RNA", at positions 354 to 796 of the family's 1533-position model. The record is from RNAcentral.
GUGGGGAAUCUUCCGCAAUGGACGAAAGUCUGACGGAGCAACGCCGCGUGAGUGAAGAAGGUUUUCGGAUCGUAAAGCUCUUUCGUUAGGGACGAACGUGCUCUUUGUGAAUAAUGAGGAGUAAUGACGGUACCUAAAUAAGAAGCCACGGCUAACUACGUGCCAGCAGCCGCGGUAAUACGUAGGUGGCAAGCGUUGUCCGGAAUUAUUGGGCGUAAAGCGCGCGCAGGCGGGAUAUCAAGUCUGUCUUAAAAGUGCGAGGCUCAACCUCGUGAGGGGACAGAAACUGGUAUUGUUGAGUGUCGGAGAGGAAAGUGGAAUUCCAAGUGUAGCGGUGAAAUGCGUAGAGAUUUGGAAGAACACCAGUGGCGAAGGCGACUUUCUGGACGAUGUCUGACGCUGAGGCGCGAAAGCUAGGGGAGCGAACGGGAUUAGAAACCCGAGUAGUCC